GGCCGGUUGGCCCAAUUGGUAAGGCGUCUGACUACGAUCAAAGCACACACGCCCUGUGUUCUCAACAUCAUCGAUAAUCAGGAGAUUCUGGGUUCGAGCCCCAGGCUGGUCA
RNAcentral lists this transfer RNA (112 nucleotides) under Pseudozyma flocculosa PF-1. RNAcentral's name for it is "Anthracocystis flocculosa PF-1 tRNA". It matches the Rfam family "tRNA". Rfam says of the family: Transfer RNA (tRNA) molecules are approximately 80 nucleotides in length. Their secondary structure includes four short double-helical elements and three loops (D, anti-codon, and T loops). The record is from Rfam by way of RNAcentral. Lineage: Eukaryota; Fungi; Basidiomycota; Ustilaginomycetes; Ustilaginales; Ustilaginaceae.